RNAcentral lists this ribosomal RNA (409 nucleotides) under Lyriothemis pachygastra. RNAcentral describes it as "partial 16S ribosomal RNA". The stretch from base 1 to 207 matches the Rfam family "Archaeal large subunit ribosomal RNA", at positions 1889 to 2143 of the family's 2987-position model. Lineage: Eukaryota; Metazoa; Arthropoda; Insecta; Odonata; Libellulidae. The record is from RNAcentral.
CGCCUGUUUAACAAAAACAUGUCCUUUAGAAUUUAAUUGAAGGUCUAACCUGCCCAGUGAUGAUUUUAACGGCCGCGGUAUACUGACCGUGCAAAGGUAGCAUAAUCAUUAGUCUUUUAAUAGAGGGCUGGUAUGAAAGGUUUGACGAGGGGCUAGCUGUCUCAUUUUAUUUGUUUUAAAAUUUAAUUUUUUAGUUAAAAAGCUAAAAUUUUAUUGGAAGACGAGAAGACCCUAUAGAUCUUUAUAUAGAUUAAUAUAGAAGAACAUAUAUCAUAUUUAUAUAUUAUUCUGUAUUUUGUUGGGGUGACAAAAAUAAAUAACAAACUUUUUUAUUUAUCAACCAUUGAUUUAUGAAUAUUAGAUCCAUUAUUAGUGAUUAUUAGAUUAAGUUACCUUNGGGAUAACAGCG